This 1154-nucleotide long non-coding RNA is filed under the name Macaca mulatta (Rhesus monkey). Its description in RNAcentral is "lncRNA (ENSMMUG00000060982.1)". The record is from RNAcentral. Lineage: Eukaryota; Metazoa; Chordata; Mammalia; Primates; Cercopithecidae.
AUUGAUUUUAUAUUAUCAAAUACACGUUUGAUGUUUCUCCACUGUGUUAGGCUUGAGGAUUUCAUUUGCCUCCAAACAGUUGUCAGCUGGCCAACUUCAUUGUUGGUGGCAACACUGUGAUUCUACUUAUAUAUCCUUGCAUCCUGCAAUGGGAAAGAUCACAAAAACUCAUUUGUGAUGGACCAGAGUCAGAGGAAUAUGCUUCUUUGUUUCAUUUUGUUUGGUUUACAUUUCUAUUCAGUAAGAAACAGGCCAAAUUAUGCUUUGCUUACAUAAGAAAACCUAAAUUAACUGUUAAUGUUUUUCUCUAAUAAUUUAUUUCAAGGAUGCUAUUCACUUCUUACAAAUCGGCAUGCCAGGCUGCUGCUCAGGUGAUCUGCCUCUUGGACCAGCUCUGAAGAUGGGAAAAUGAUCAGUGCAAGAUCCCUGAGAUGCUGAGACACGAUGGGAUGGAGGAAAGCUGUGGGACAAGUGGCCUUUCAUAGGAGGAGGAGCUCCUUGUCAAAUGUGAGGAGCGAAGCAGGACAGGAGCAUGAGAACAGUUACACAACUGUGGGCAAAACUUUGAAAAUGAAACACAGAAUCCUGGGAUUCCCUUGCUGUGGGCAAGUACGCACACUGUGAGUGGAUGUGAGGAUGUCUUCUGAAGGGAGGAGAAAUCUCCUCUGUCAACUUUCUAUCUAGGGCAGAAAAUAAGCCAUAGCAGCUUGAUCCUAUCUUUAUAAAAGAAAACAUUUCUUUUUUCUUGGGACUGAGAUGAGUUUGGAGGCCUCAGUAAUGGCUAAAAGACAAGGUCAGUCCUUCAGUGCAUACAGGUUAGGUGGGCCCUUCGUGACAAAAUGCAGGAAGCCUAAGAAAUGAGACAGCCUGUGAAAAACCCUAGGAGGAGCUCCUAGGAGAUAUCCUCUCUAGAAGCUAGUUUUUAAUGUUCUCUUUUUGCAUUUUAAUUGUCUCCUCUUAUGCCCAGUACUACAACAAUCCUUUGGUAAACAUUGUUGCAUGGUCUUAGCUGGUACUUCAAGGAAUUACCAAUGCCCAUAUGAGAAAAUCUAAUGUCCAUACCUAAGGAGGAAGCAAGUUAUGAGAUAGUAAAAGAUGAAUGACUGGAAGAAAAGAAAUCCCAGUCCAGAGCAAAAAAGCUGGCUGGGGAUUCC